This is a long non-coding RNA of Pezoporus flaviventris, 7957 nucleotides long. RefSeq lists it as uncharacterized. NCBI's taxonomy places the organism in Eukaryota, Metazoa, Chordata, Aves, Psittaciformes, Psittacidae. The transcript has 2 exons. The record is from RefSeq and is a predicted model, not a curated record.
UACUCUAGCAAUUAGCUAAUACCAGUUAUCUUCUUGCUAUGCCAAUCUUCUUGCUACUUCCCAAUACCGCAAAGCAUAGUUUUGAUAUUGGAAUGCUAACAAUUAUUUAUUAGGUGCCUCAAAGCAUUCAGGAUCGCAGUUAUAGGAUCCCUUGUGUUUUAGGGCUGUAAAAACAAAGAACAAAAGAAGAGUCCCCAACUAACACGCUCACAAAGUAACUCCAAGGCAAUUGGCAACAGAUGAAUACUGACAGAGGUAAAGUAGUAUGCUGGGAAUGAUUAUAGAAGAACUGUCAGUAUGAAAGGCAGUGUUCAUGAAAUACCUUUAAUCUAGCCACCGGUGAUUAUUCUUUUUCUGGGCAAUCCACUCUAUCCUCUCCCCCCCCCCCCCCAGUAUCUUACAGGAUGUAGCAAGCAUGCAUUCGAAGGUGCUGUGCUCUUGCAGGAGACCAGCCUCCCUUCUUGUCUCCAUGAGGUGAGAGACAGAGAUUUUCAAACCUGUUAAAAGUCAUUCUGAAGCAAGGGAUGGAUCCCCAGGAUCCUGGCCCCGGGUUUCUCACCCUGAAGCAGAAGACAACGCUGUCAUUCAGAACAGCAAGUUCCCAUUCACAGUUAUUUGUCAUGUUAAUUACUAAAGACAAAAUUCUCCUUCAUCUUAAUCGUGCGGGUCAAAGCAGAGAAGUUUAGCACUUCAGAACAUCAAACUUUGCUUUCAUCUGUGUACAGGACAUCAUUCUGAAAUUCCUUUUGAUCAAUUAGAAAAAAAAAGGAAGGAAGACAAUUUGAAAGUUUGCUAGUGGCUGGGGUUGUCAUCUCUUUGUUAAAAUCAAGGGAAAAGGAGUCUCUCUAGUCAUUAGCCAUUGACUGGGGGUGUCCAUAACAUCCCAACCAGAGCAGGUAAAGCUGAGUAAAAGCCAUGAGCAAAUAUUGACAACCGCUUCCCCCUGUAGUCAUGCAGGAUCCUCGUCACAUCAUUCUCACUUCACUAAUUUAAAUCCAAGUUGUUAGCACGAUUAGAUCCCUGUGUACUGUGCUAUAGGAAAUACCCCUGGCUCAAACCCCUGCAUUUUUCACGGAAAGUGGAUGCCUAUCAUGACUGUAAUUUACUGCACAGUGUACCUACGCGCUCCCACAUUAGCUGCAAUCUCUGUCGUGCUCACGCCAACAUUCCAGCACUAUUUGGCAUUUCAUGAACGCAGUAUUUAUCACUGAAGUUCAUACAAAGUUGCAAACCCUAACAAGGCUUAUCAGCUUUUACAAACCAUCUCUGUCCACUGGAGUGUGACAUGCUGAGUAUAAUUCCACUCCCUGUGCACUCAUCAGAUGUGAAGGAGGAAAGGGGGGGCUUCAAAGCAGUGUUUCGUAUCGUUUUAAAUGAAUCGUGAAAUCAAAUGUCCAUAUAGCCACUAAGUUCCUGCAGGUGAGAUGCAACUGCAAGCUGGGCACUUCAAGCAGUCCCUCAGUCAAAUAAAAUCUUCUCAUCAUUACUGAUGUGGUAAUUGUGCCCUGGAAAAGAGCAGCGCAUUGGUUGUGCAAGGGGAGAGAGGGACUUGGAGCUCAGUUCCAGAAGUCACACUGAGUGCAGACCAGGUCAGUCAGCCUUGGUUUACCUGCUGUCAAGAGGCAAAUCACCAGUUACUGGAUUUAUUUCAGAAACAUAUCAGAAAGUAUAAUUAAAUAUGCAAGUGUAUGUUUGCCUCUGAAGUUUUGAAAUAUUGUGGUAUUUGUACCAAGAACUUGGCAACCUGAUUUUCUGCUGGUCCAACCCUAUAUCUAGAGCAAGAGCAGAGACAAGAAAGCUUGUGAAGGGGCUUGCAGUACCUGUAUUUUUGUGUGUCUACAUGCCUCUGGGUAUAUAACACCCCAUCACCACCCCUUUCCUGCUUGUCAGGCACAAGUGUGACACACUGAUGUGGGUGGAAUUUGAUUGAGAAAUGAGCUACUGUUUGUAUUGUCAUCACAGAGCUCUCUAAAAGCAUGAAGUCAGUCUGAAAAAAAUCAGGAUGUUAAAAAUGAAUGCUAAUUCUUUUCGCUUUUCUGCUCUGUUUUUUGGUUCACGUCACUUGUGUAAGGUGGUGUUGGGAUUUUUGGUAUGAGUAGAAAUCAGAAACACCUCUUUGAUAACAAGAUUUCACAAACGCUUAUUCUCUCUCUCUAAUUCCAUGAUAUCAAGAGUCAGGCUGAUAAGUUUAAUGUCUUGAGGUAAUUCCUUAAUUAUUGUGUAGGCUUUCAUAGUUCCAUUGACUUCAGCUGAGAUGUUACAACAACUGAAGGUAUGUGCCCUAAUAUUUGCAAUUAAAAAGAAUAAGACUGGCUAAAGUUUGUGUAUAGAGCACAGCAAUAUAUCCCCUGCCAGGGAAAUGUUUGUAAUGGCUGAAGAAUGGGAUGGGAGAUCUUAGGUAUCAAAUUAAAAAUAAUCUAUUCAUUGCAUUUAAAAAUCCAGUGUUUAAUAGGUUUAUGUAUGCAGUUGCAUAGCUGUAAAUGCAUUCCUUUGCUAGCAAGUGCUUUAGAGAUGUUGGUGUGUCCAUUUAAUAGCCACCACCACAUUUCCCUGCUAUAUUCACCCUGGCCAGAGCAGCCUGUGUCACCAAGAAGGCAUAGCCCCAGGCUGACUCCUUCAGCUGGCCAUGGGAGCCCGGCUCAGCAAUUAAAGCAGAUACAGGCACACCUACAGGCAGCGUUUUCUCUGCCUGUUUUUCAUCAUCCGUUAUACUGUUUGCACCCAUAGACCAUGGUAAAAUUUUCCAUGGUUGCAGUUUGAGCUGCUUCAGUAAAUGUUGUUCAUGAAAAGGGAACACUUGUUGCUUCUUUUUGCCCUCCCCGGGAUCCUUUUUGGUGAGGUUUUUGCAGCUAGUGGAAUCCAAGGCACAGGCGUUGUGACCUGGAGCACAGGAGCAAGUUCCCUGCCUGCCUUUGUGAACUGACUCAUGCUCUAACCUUGGUCAGGUCACUCGGGUGGUGGUGGUGGUGAUGGUGUUCUCUGUAUCUCAGAAUUUAAAAUGCAUAUUUUGUUCUCCUCACAAUUCUGACAUUGUAAACAUCUUUCUGGCUCUAGCGACAAUCUGUAUCAUUUUAGAUAUACAUUAUCCUGUACAAAAAUACCCACCCACACCCCGUACUCUGAAAAAAUCACAGUCGCCGAAACUCCAAAUUUAAAUUGAAAUAUGUAGAGCUGUGUAGACAAGAGGACAUCUCUCCAAAUGUGAGUCGAUAGCCUUUUUCUCUCAAAACAGUUUGGCUUAUCAGAAAUUCCUAGUCUUCAAGUUUACAACUCAGUCUCCAACUGGGAGCUGCUGGACCACCCAGCAGCCAGAGCUGGGACACAUUCUUCAGCAGUAUAUUUGCUUUGCCAAGGGAGAGGAUGGUUUCAUUGCAAAUGUCAGCUGCAGGCUGAUGCUUCAUCUUCCUCAAUACUGUCCCAUCCCUCACAUGCUCCCUGCCCUCUCCCCAUAGCUGGUUUUUGCAUUACGUCUGUCACUGUCUCCUUGCUGCCUUACCUCCAGCAACUAGGAAGAAAAGGAUGCAAGAACAGACAAAACAGUGUUCCUACUGCAUUUUAGCCUGGCUAUGCAAAUAUCUGUAGCAGCUAAAACCAGCAGUCAUAAGGAUAUUCCUGCUUUAGCCCUGUAAUCCUGGACUGGAAAGAGUCCUGCACUACCCACUUGUCAUCAGAUCCUCUGCUCCUCUGCCAGUAGGUUGGUGGUGGCAUUGAAAGGCACCUGAUGUUUCUUGGGACUUGGACUGUCAUGGCUCACUGUGAGGAACAGAUUAUGGAGCUUAAGGUUCUUCACUGAGAAGGCCCUGAUUCCAGAUCUAUAAAUAGGUCCCCCUCUAUUCAACUCAUGUACAUCUCUGCUGUCUCAAGCAUGGCCAGAGAGAGGUUGUCAUCCUGGGCACUCUAGCAGCCCUUCAACUCUCACAGAGAGGCACGGAAGGAAAAGUAGUCUCUAAGAUAGAGAAGGACGCAUAUCAUGCUUUUACUCUCCACAGCAAUCUCAGUAUUUUGUAUGUACUUAUUGCUCUGAGUUUGUAUCCCUUUCCCACCUGUACUUACACUGUCUUUUUUUUCCGUGGCUUGUUAUUAUUUCUAUUGAGCAAUCUUCAGCCGAACCGGGAGAUCUUGCAGUGAGUCACUUACUUGAACAUUAUUGCCUAGUUCUUUGCACAAGACAGAUUGGAUAUGAAUGAGAUCUCUUGUCCUUAUGAUUUCCUCUUAUUUCACAAGACAUUUUCUUCAGAACUCUCCCUGCAAUAAAUUAUGUGGUAUAUUUAUUUUUUCUUCUACCAUGCUAUAGCUCUGUGCUUUUUUUUUCUUUGUCGUUUCUCAUUUUUUAGACACUUCUUCUUCUAUGAUCUGCUGCUGUUGUUUUCUGUUUUUUUCCUCUCACAAUCUCUUAGCUAUAUCCUUGGGAAUUUUUCCCUUGUGCAUUUUUUAGCACAGUGAAUGUAUUUGAUGUAUUCAAAAUGAGAGCUUGAGCUAAGUAUUUAAAGUAACAAAAUGAUUUCCCUCUUUUAUCUUUCAGAUGUUGUGUAAUGACUGGGAAAAAAUAAAAGCAGUUGAAAUGUUUUAAAUGAGGUAUAGAACUGUAAGGAAUACAUUCCUAUGUAUCGUUUUCUGAUCUUCGUAAUGUCGCAUGAGUGAAAGACUUUGGAGGUGCUUUACUUCUAAAGACUCACUUGCCUGGAUUUCAGCAACUGCCUUUGGGAAGAGCCUGCAAACCCCAUGUCUAAUCAAAGGGAGGGUGAGUGUAUUUGGGGUGGAUGAUACUGAAAUGGGACUUAGAGAUAGCACAUGUCCGUGGUAUUUAUAGGAGUCCCAUCUUAGCACUGUAUGUCACUGCCAAUUCAUCCAUCAAAACAUCACUACAUUCCCUUGCUUACCAACUCUCCUGCCCUGUUAUCCCCUCUAAACCUUUUUACUCCCACACUGCUUGAUGGAGGUUUGCUAGAAGUUUGGAUUUAACCCAGUUGUGGCCUUUCUGUGGAGGAGUGCUGGAGGAAAAGUUGGUUUGAACUGAAGCUGAAAUCCAGUGGAUGGUUUUGAAAUACAGGUACAUACUGACAUUCGAAUAUUAUUGCUAAGUCCCAUUUCUGUUCUCCCAGCAACUUGGCUAUUCAAACCCUAGUUAGCCAUGGCUAAGGGCAGAUAGAUAGCUUCUUCUACAGCAGGUCUAACCCAUUUUACCCCAGCUCUGCCUGCUGUUUUUAACUUAAGUAGCAUCUCUAGUUGACAAAAUGGACAGGUUAGGAGGGGAUUUGUUUCAUUUAUGUCAUAUAACAUCUGAGUUGACUUUCAAAAUAUAAUAAUUCGUUUAUAUGUCUUCAAGUAGAAAUUCAAUUGCCAAAGCACUGCUCACAAAGGAAGCCUUUGGGGAUCUAUAUAUUAGAAUGCACUGAAUAUUAGUCUGUGGAGCAAUGUCUGGCCUGGCUGAGGCUUAAUGUCCAACAUGUGUCAUUAAAUAAUAGUAUAGCAACAUAUAAAACACCUGCCAGACCAUUCCUCCUCCUCCUCUGUACUAUGUUUAGCUACUAAGGAUGGCUGUUUCCCGUCAAGAUUACUUUCAUGUUUUAUGUUUAAAACUAGAACUAAACUUCUUCACCUGGAUUGCAGUGCAACAUUAGGACAUGUCAUUUGGGGAAGUGGUGGGAUUUAUCUCCUUGGUAGCUUUCAAGGAUCAUCUACACAAAACCAUCCGCAAUCUGAUCUGGUGUUGAUGUUAAUGCAACUUCAAGAAGCAGGAGGUUGGCCUAGAAACCUCCGGAGGUCCUUUUUAAAUGUUUUUUUUCUAUGAUCUUACAGUUCUGCAUUUUCUUGAAGAAGACGUUGCUUUGGUGCACUGAACAAAAACAAGGCCAGAUGAAACCAAAUAGCACUGAGCACCGAGUCCUUGCUGCUUGGUAGAAGUCACUCGGCAAUUUUGCAGAUGCUGAAAGUCCCAACCUUCAGCCCCUAUGGUGGUGUCCUUUGUAAUACGAGGAUUUAUCAGCUGGUUUUCAUAGCCAUGUAGGUCAGUUUUUAGUCUUUUCUGCAAUGCUGUGUGUUCUGUAUUAUACUCCUGCAAUUGCAUAUUUGCAUGCCUACUCAAUUACCACCAGAAAGUUAUCUUCAAAAGCGCAAAGACUGUCACUGCUAUCCUUCCUAAGAAUGCAGGAAUGAUAAUCGUUAAGGAGGAAAAUUACUUGUACACAGUAUUGACUUUUUUGCCCCACUGCCUGUCAUUACUUGGUAGGUUUUGCUCAGUGCAGGACAGUGAGCAGCCUGCUCCAUGCAGAUCUUGGCUGGCUUAGGAGGGAUAGGCAGCAGGCAGGGCUCUCACAGGCAGUGCCAGCCCCUUGGCUCAUGGCAGGGCAUGAGUGACCCACCCUUAGCAGCCUCUCAUUCCAGCUUUGAAGCAAAGGGUAGCAAGAGGCUUCAGAAAGAUGAGAGCUCCAGCCAUGAGUGGGGGAAUGGCCCACUAAAUGAUUGGUGGAAUUGAAGCAUUUAUUGAUUUAAGAGCAUUCUUUUCUUUUGCCUUGCUUUUGUCUUCUAAGGCAACUUUCUUCUGAAUUUAUGUCCCACAUUGUCACAUCAGGAGGAAAAUACAUGAGAAAUGUUUUGUUAUUUCAAAUUUAUCGCAUAUUACGUCAGCUGGCACUGUGGACUCACAAUAUGUAAUGCUCCAUAAAUUAUGAAAAAUAAAUGUUUUAUGGGCUUACUACGCACUCUGUUUGAAAACCGUUGAGCUGGGGAGACUCACUGACCCCCGUACAAAUUAAUGUGCACAUGAUUUUCAUUACUGCAGCUCCGAUGGGAAGUUUGAACAUCUUUAUAUAUUUAUUUAAAGGAAAACGAGGACAGAAGUUGCUUGAAUACAGUUAGCUUUUCUGGCAAGAAGCAGGUAUCAUUUCACCCAGCUCAUAACCUAUUACUUCCCUCACAGUCAUUGUUAUUCCAGGCCAAAGCUUAAGCUCAGAAUGGGCGCUUCAAGGAUUUAGCACAAGCUUCCAGAGGUCAAAUCCUGCAGUCUUUAGCCAGGCAAACUAAACCUCCAAGUUGGUAGGGUUUUGUCUAUGCAAGGACUGCAGCGUUUGCAGAAAACUAGGAAAGGAGAAGUCAGGCUCCUGCAGAAGGGAAGGCAAUGAAAGGUAUUUCUACCCAACUUCCCUGCCCUGCUUUCCCUGAGUGUGAUGGAGAACGACAAUCAGAGAGCCGCGCAUCUCAGCUGUCAAGGGCCUCACCAGAAGUGAAAAGCUAAAUCUCGAGGCACUGGAGAUCUUAAACCUUAUCGAACACGGCAGCCUUCAGCUCCGAGCCGCAGGAAUCGGAGGGAAACAUCCUCACCCGCCUGCAUGGGAAAGUGUGUCAUCCCAUUUUCUGAGGAGCAGAAGUUCACUCCAACAUGUGUUGCAUGGGAGGCAUGCGUCUUUGUGGGGGGAAAGGGCACGGUGACGUCAGGUAUGAGGAGCGGUGAAGCGCUCUCGGCUGCUUUGUUUUUGCACCCGAAGAUUUCAGUUGCUUGCAAACAGAGGUCAGGUGCUGCAGCUCUUCCCCUGGAUGGUUUUUAUAUCGCAGAGAUCCACCACUGCGUUUCUAAUAAAGCCAUCAAGAGCAUAACCGGGAGCUCCCUGCAUGGGCUUAAGCAAUAUAAGUCACUGCUUCAGAGGACGCUCUUAACUUGGGGCUGGAUGGAUGGAAAAAUCUUCCAAGUUAUUCACUCCUAAUUCAAGUCAGCUGAGGCAUCAAAAUGUCGGGCAGAUGGACAAGAUCUUUGGCUGGAGCCAGCCUGUUUUCUGCUGCUGCUAGGGCUAUUGCACUCAACACUCUAGACUUCUUAAAAUCAUUUUUCCUUAAAUCACUGGGCUUUUGAGAAAUGAGCCUUUGUAUAAGCACAUUAAAGGAGAUUCCUGUGUGCUUUCUAGUGUAAAAGCCCAUACUCCAAGGAUCCUAACUGUAUUAAAUCAUGGUACUUAUCCCAAAA